UGCCCACUGCAUCAACGCGGCAGCGGGUUUGCACAGGGGGCGCGAGCCGCGAGCAGUGCAGACAGCCACACGCACACGCACACGCACACGCACGUACAAAAACCAUUACACGUCGACUACACGUGCCCCAUCAUAUCGUUCGUCUUCCUCAGGAAAAGAAAGCGUGCCUGAGGAGCCUUUCGCCUCUUUUCGAGCAUCUCGUUCCACUUCACGCCCCUCCUUCCUGCCUCUCAUCCGGAGCUCAAGCACACGGCAGCCAUGUUUACCCAGAUUAGCAAUGCACACACAGAGGUGGUGACCUCUCUUGUGUUUUCGCCCCACGUCGUCACGACUGGCGAGGGAGGUCUGCUCUGCUCCACCUCUGGCGAUGACACGACGGCGCUGUGGGACCUGCGAGCCGGCCCCGGGGCGUCGCAGCGGGCCGCGCACCUCACCGGUCACCACGUCGGCCCUGUGAACCAUGCACUUUUUCACCCAUCCAAUGCGUACACGUUGCUGACGGCGUCCGAUGAUCGAAGCAUCGGCUGCUGGGAUCUGCGCCGUCCAGAUCGAGUCGUAGGCACGGUAUCCGGCUUUCAGGAAGGCGUGAACAAGAUGCUGUGGCUGCCAGUCACGUCGGACGGCUGCAGAGGCACUGGUGGCAGCAGCAGCGGCGGCGGCUGGAGGGUAGUGAGCGCCUGCGAUGACGGCCACGUGUACAUCCACGCACUCUCACUGUCCAACAGCGGCUCCGAGAGCGUUACUGUCGCUGACACUGCUCCUGUCCCGCAGGUGGGCGCGCUUGUGGACAAGUUUCGUGUGUCGACGAGCACUGUGAAUGAUAUCGUGCUCGCACCAAACUCUAUAUCGAUCCUCAUCACCGCCUCGGAGGAUUGCGCACUGCGGUCGUGGUCGUUACGGCACGCGCAGCAGAUGACCAACACGUCAGUAGGGUUGAUGGAAGACCGCCUGCUCGCCACUCUUGACGAGUUUGAGAACCCCGUGAACCACGUCGUGGUGGUGCCCAGUGGGCUCAUGGCGCCGGUGGAGAGCCGGGCAGCUGGCGAGGGCCCGGAGAGCGGCAGCAGCAGAAGCCUGGAUGGCGCUGCUGGUGACGCAGAGGAAUGCGCAGACGCGGCUUCGGCCUCCACAGGCUUUCCUCGCGCAUAUCAGCAAGUACACGGUGGAGACGUUGUCGAGGACGCCGAGGCGGGGAGCGACACUGGUAGCAGCGCAGGGGCACGACAGCCGCGAAGGGCUACGGACAUCUCUGAGGCUGCUGGGACCGGCUGCUGGCUGCUCGCCGCGUGCUCUGAGUGCGUCUUUGGUGUCGACUUUGCGCUGCGCAUCGGCGAGUUCGGCACCGGAGCCCGCGCGUUUGUGGGUCAUCAGGACUACGUGCGCGGACUUGAAUUCACGAGCGAGGGCAAGCUGCUGACCGUAUCGGACGACAGCACGGCCAUCGAGUGGGACCUUGCCACAACGGACCCCAUACGGCAGGUAAAGCUGCACGACGGUCUCGUCAUGUCAUCGGCGGUGUCGCCCUCGCGCGACUUGCUCGCCACCGGCACUGACCGCGGAGAACUUCGUGUGUGGCGCCUGCCGUUUGCGACGGAGCGGAUUGGUGGCUCGCCGUGAUACCGCGCAGCCGCAUCGCAGGCGCACAUGCGCACACAUCCACGCAUGCGCCCUCCCGUUUGAUUCGUGUUUUACUGCACCCUCCCUGAAGACGGCCGGACGCACGCCUCAGCGCGCGGCACCACGGGGUCCAGCACCCCUUCCACUCUGUGUGCGGAGGCCACGCAGCCCCCCUUAUCCCUGCCACUGCCGGCCGGCGUGUGGUGGGGACAGGGCCAGGCACCCGUGUCGUGGGGGAGGUGGAUGCAAUGAAUCACUGCUGAUGUCGGCGGCGACGUCGUGGACGGUGUUGCGUGGGCGAUACCUGCGACCGUGAGCACGCUUGCACGGCCCAUAUGAGGGGCAGAGUGGCAGCGUGACUCGAGCGUAUCCCACCCCUCGGCCAUGACUGCCUCCCGGUGGGGAGUCUGGGCCACGGCGAGAGAUGCGCCAGGUGGUGGCCAGCCCAAUGGGGGAGCGGCUGUGGGGCGACGUGCGAAGCGGUGAGGGGGCGGGUGGGGGUUGAGGGGCCGAGCGCAUGCGGAGCCGACUGCGUCUGCGCAUUUGCUGCCGCGUGCGCGCGUGUGUGCGUGUGCGGCCGCUUCGCACCACGCGACGGUGCCUGUGACGGGGCCAUCGCCGGGGGAGGGGAGAGGGGGCGGAGAGUGGUGGAGUGGAGCUGCGGACAUGUUGUGUGGCAGAGAGGGGGGCUUGUGGAGAGAAUAGACUGCGUAUUGACGAGAAGCUAAGCGGAUUAAUUAAGCGAAUGCAGCUUGCGGAUACCGAGAGGAGGUCAUCCAGAGGGAUGAGGGGAGAGGGCCGGUGUGAGUGUCCAUAUUGUGGCAUCGGUCCGUGAUCGCCGGUGGCGCUUCCGACGCACGCGCUCUCUCCGGCACGCGAAUAUAGACCUCUUCUCCAUGAGGUUCUCACCUCACGUGCCGUUCUGCCGCAUCCACCUUUUUCGCCUCACAUAUCGCUGCCGACGGACGGGCACACACGCGUACAUAUACGGAGGUGCCGUUGACAAGAAGACUCUGCGUGCACCCAAGUCAGUGGAAGCCUAAAGGUGCGAAGGCUUUGGCGGAGGAGUGGCUGAUAGAGAGACACACAGAUACGUGUAGACAG
This 2721-nucleotide unclassified non-coding RNA is filed under the name Leishmania donovani. Its description in RNAcentral is "gene:LdHU3.22.1580(CDS-product:WD_domain_G-beta_r epeat_putative)". Lineage: Eukaryota; Euglenozoa; Kinetoplastea; Trypanosomatida; Trypanosomatidae. The record is from RNAcentral.